Molecule: small RNA, 1894 nt
Filed under: Histoplasma capsulatum var. duboisii H88
Lineage: Eukaryota; Fungi; Ascomycota; Eurotiomycetes; Onygenales; Ajellomycetaceae
Description: Histoplasma capsulatum H88 hypothetical RNA
Source: RNAcentral
UUACAUAGUUAGCUAAUAGCGUUCUUAGGUUAUAUCAGAUGAGUGGCUGACCUGCGGGUGUAAAAUAUCCACUAAAGUCCCCGUUAGAAGGAUAUAGAGUUCCAGCUAGCGACAAUCCCAUCUUGGUUGUGGAAUCUGACUGACCUUCAAAUGACAGCUUCUAUAUUUUCAGCAAUAGCAUGAAUGCCACGGUCCAGCUUCAAAGUCUAUUCAUUAUUUGGAGCAGGCGGGCUUGAUUUGCAUGGGCUUAAUACAAAAUAACGAUCUGGAUCGCAUCGAACUACUUGUUCAUGGACAAGUUGUCCAAUACUUAUUGUCAGAUUGGAAAGAAAUCAGGCGUCGACCCUCGGGAAAAGAACCAUAACGACCUCUAACGACGAGUCUGGGGAAUAUCGAUGCUGCCCAAAAUGACUCAAUUAAACUCAAGUUCAAAUUUCCCAUCAGUAAAAUAAUAAUUCAGAAAGCUGUUGACCUCAGUGAGGGUUCUUUAGUUUACCCGAGCAACACACCCAUUUUAUUCUGAGUAAUAUUGGUGUGGUCGCUGGCAAAGUUUGGUGUUUUUUAAACAUUGAUUUAUUUUGCCAAAGCAGCUCUCCCCCAUCAAUUUCGCCUGCAAAUCAAAUACAUACACAGAGUACGUUUGAGUAUGAACCGUACAUUGACCACUGGGAAGGCGGCAUCCGCACAAUCAGCAGGAAAAGAAGUUAAACAAACAAGCGCACACCCGGGAAGAUUUAGUUACACUUAUCCGCUGGCUCUGGCAACUUCAGCUCAUACUCCCCAUCACCCUGCACCACAUCAGGGCCCGGGUUCGGAUACUUGACUUCGAAAUUCGUCAUGGGUGUCUGGCACCCGUUAUCGAUAUUCGCAAACAGGAAGCUUGGGCGGUCAUUGAAAGGCACUGCUGGUGGCGUCGUCGUCGCUGAAGCACCAUUGCUGCUGGUGUCGCUCGAACUACCACCACCACAUGUACAUGUACAUGAGCCUGUAUCUCGCUGGCUAUACUGGUGGCCUUGCGACAAGCCCCAGUCGCGCCGGUGGCGCCCGUUCCUAUGCCCAGAAUCUGAACGUGACACAAAAUCUUGCCCCCCCCCCUUUUUUUCCGCUCCAGUGAUCUCCACUGCCGCACAAAGCAUAUUAAAUUCCCUCUCCCGGUUAAUCCACGUCCACGCAAAUACUUGUACGCCAACCGGUGUGUCUCUGGGGACCGUAAAUUCAAAUGUCUGCUUCCCCGGGUCCGUCCCGCCGUUCCGAUACGGGCAAUUGCCUUCAAAACUCUUCACUACUUUCCAUGUCGCGCCUUUGUCGACACUGAACCCGACCUGGCAUGAGCCACCGUAAUGGUUCCCUGUACCUGUGAGGCUAAAAUUUUGCUGCGACCCCGCAGCCCAGGAAGCAACGGAUUGGCCCUGUGGUGUGCUCAAAUGGCUUAGGUACCCUUUGCAGGGGAAAGGUGUGGUGCGGCCGCAACAAUUAUAGGGAUAGUCGAGGUAAGAGUCUGGCGCGUUCGUUAGGUGCGGAUUGUUUGCGGCUGCGAAUGGUGGUGGGUGGUAGAGACCCAUAUGAGCCUGCGCAAGAGUGGCUAGGCCAAUCAAGUAGAGGAUUUUGGCUGAUGAGAGCAUCCCUUGGUCGGUCUAUUGCUGCUGGUUUUUCUGUAGACCACCUGAGCGACUUUCUAAUGAAGGAAAUGACAGAACUGCGAUAGCAAGACGGGGUUUGUAUGUUCCGUGUCACAGAUACGGGUGUCUGGUUUUUAGAAGCUUCGAAGAUGUAGAAGGUUCGGGUAGAUUAUGGAGAUCAGGUAUUUUGGAGAAUGGAUAAAGCAUGAACACAAAGAGAAUCUCGAUAAUAAAGAAAACAGGCGUGGGUCUAUUGUUUAGUAUUUAUUCACAUG